This 73-nucleotide transfer RNA is filed under the name Rhodopirellula baltica SH 1. It matches the Rfam family "tRNA". Rfam says of the family: Transfer RNA (tRNA) molecules are approximately 80 nucleotides in length. Their secondary structure includes four short double-helical elements and three loops (D, anti-codon, and T loops). Lineage: Bacteria; Pseudomonadati; Planctomycetota; Planctomycetia; Pirellulales; Pirellulaceae. The record is from Rfam by way of RNAcentral. RNAcentral also lists the same sequence under 15 other names.
GAGAGUGUAGCUCAGUUGGCAGAGCAUUCGACUUUUAAUCGAAUGGUCCUGGGUUCGAGUCCCAGCACUCUCA